RNAcentral lists this long non-coding RNA (604 nucleotides) under Mus pahari (shrew mouse). RNAcentral describes it as "lncRNA (MGP_PahariEiJ_G0032899.1)". Lineage: Eukaryota; Metazoa; Chordata; Mammalia; Rodentia; Muridae. The record is from RNAcentral.
AAGAAAAAGAACACAGCAUUGCUGGGAAACUCUCAGAUCGGAUGUCAUCAGGGUAGACGUCAGCACAGUGCUUCUAAGUGCAAUCACCCAGGGAGAAGGUGCUGAGGGGAAAGAUGUCAGGAGCGGCACCUAAGAGCUCUUGGAGGAGAGACAGGAGCUGUAAGGUCAGGAGAACAGGAGGGGCCCAUGCUCAGGGAAGCUGUGGGUAACAACAGUGGGCAACUCUCCACUAACUCACCAAGGAGAGAAAGGAACAUCUGGACUUGUAGAAAUCUUAGUGGCAGGGUUGGAUUGAUAGCUCAGCAGUUAAGAGCAUUGGCUGCACUUCCAGAGGUCCUAAGUUCAAUUCCCAGCAACUGCAUGGUGACUCACAACCAUCUGUAACUCGGGAUCCAAUGCUUUCUUCUGGCAUUCAGGUGUACAAGCAAUUAGAGCACUCAUAUACAUAAGAUGAAUACAUCUUUAAAGAAAGAAAAAGAAAGCUCGGUUUCAGUGGUCGGAUGAGUGCACGGAAGUUAGAGGCUGGGGUGGGUGGAACCUUCAGGGAGAACACCUGGAGGAAGUACUGUCCUGUGACUGCAGGUCGUACCAGAGCACACACGCU